This 900-nucleotide ribosomal RNA is filed under the name uncultured archaeon. RNAcentral's name for it is "bacterial SSU rRNA". It matches the Rfam family "Archaeal small subunit ribosomal RNA", at positions 152 to 1053 of the family's 1478-position model. The record is from RNAcentral.
CCCGAUAGGACUAUCCACCUGAAAUGGUUUGUGUUCCAAAUGAUUUAUCGCCGUAGGAUGGGACUGCGGCCUAUCAGUUUGUUGGUGAGGUAAUGGCCCACCAAGACUAUUACAGGUACGGGCUCUGAGAGGAGUAGCCCGGAGAUGGGUACUGAGACACGGACCCAGGCCCUAUGGGGCGCAGCAGGCGAGAAAACUUUGCAAUGUGCGAAAGCACGACAAGGUUAAUCCGAGUGGUUUCUGCUAAAGGAACCUUUUGUUAGUCCUAGAAACACUAACGAAUAAGGGGUGGGCAAGUUCUGGUGUCAGCCGCCGCGGUAAAACCAGCACCUCAAGUGGUCAGGAUGAUUAUUGGGCCUAAAGCAUCCGUAGCCGGCUCUGUAAGUUUUCGGUUAAAUCUGUACGCUCAACGUACAGGCUGCCGGGAAUACUGCAGAGCUAGGGAGUGGGAGAGGUAGACGGUACUCGGGAGGAAGUGGUAAAAUGCUUUGAUCUCUCGAUGACCACCUGUGGCGAAGGCGGUCUACCAGAACACGUCCGACGGUGAGGGAUGAAAGCUGGGGGAGCAAACCGGAUUAGAUACCCGGGUAGUCCCAGCUGUAAACUAUGCAAACUCAGUGAUGCAUUGGCUUGUGGCCAAUGCAGUAUUGCAGGGAAGCCGUUAAGUUUGCCGCCUGGGAAGUACGUACGCAAGUAUGAAACUUAAAGGAAUUGGCGGGGGAGCACCACAAGGGGUGAAGCCUGCGGUUCAAUUGGAUUCAACGCCGGAAAUCUUACCCGGAGAGACAGCAGAAUGAAGGUCAAGCUGAAGACUUUACCAGACAAGCUGAGAGGUGGUGCAUGGCCGUCGCCAGCUCGUGCCGUGAGAUGUCCUGUUAAGUCAGGUAACGAGCGAGAUCC